Molecule: ribosomal RNA, 216 nt
Filed under: uncultured bacterium
Lineage: Bacteria
Description: partial 16S ribosomal RNA
Rfam family: Bacterial small subunit ribosomal RNA
Source: RNAcentral
CCGUAGCCUGGUAGCGGGGGAUAACUAUUGGAAACGAUAGCUAAUACCGCAUAACAGUAGAUGUUGCAUGAUAUCUGCUUGAAAGGUGCAAAUGCACCACUACCAGAUGGACCUGCGUUGUAUUAGCUAGUUGGUGAGGUAACGGCUCACCAAGGCGACGAUCAGUAGCCGGACUGAGAGGUUGACCGGCCACAUUGGGACUGAGAUACGGCCCAG